UAAUACGGGGGGUGCGAGCGUUGUUCGGAUUCACUGGGUAUAAAGGGUGCGCAGGCGGCUUGAUAAGUCAGAGGUGAAAUUCGUCGGCUCAACCGACGGACUGCCCCUGAAACUGUCUCGCUUGAGUCCGGGAGAGGAAGGUGGAAUUCCAGGUGUAGCGGUGAAAUGCGUAAAUAUCUGGAGGAACACCGGUGGCGAAGGCGGCCUUCUGGCCCGGAACUGACGCUCAGGCACGAAAGCUAGGGGAGCGAACGGGAUUAGAUACCCCGGUAGUCCUAGCCGUAAACGAUGGGUACUAGGUGUUGGAGGAUUCUACCCCUUCAGUGCCGCAGCUAAUGCAUUAAGUACCCCACCUGGGGAGUACGAUCGCAAGGUUGAAACUUAAAUGAAUUGACGG
Molecule: ribosomal RNA, 397 nt
Filed under: bacterium enrichment culture
Lineage: Bacteria
Description: bacterial SSU rRNA
Rfam family: Bacterial small subunit ribosomal RNA
Source: RNAcentral